UAGUAACGGCGAGUAAGCGGAAGAGCUCAAGCUUAAAAUCUCCGUGCAAGUUUUGCACGGCGAAUUGUAGUCUAUAGAGGCGUGGUCAGCGUGGGCGCUUGGGGCAAGUUCCUUGGAAGAGGACAGCAUGGAGGGUGAUACUCCCGUUCAUCCCUGAGUUGCUCGUGCGUACGACCCGUUUUCUUUGAGUCGCGUUGUUUGGGAAUGCAGCGCAAAGUAGGUGGUAAAUUCCAUCUAAAGCUAAAUAUUGGUGCGAGACCGAUAGCGAACAAGUACCGUGAGGGAAAGAUGAAAAGAACUUUGAAAAGAGAGUUAAAGAGUACCUGAAACUGCUGAAAGGGAACCGAAUCGUUUCCAGUGUCUAUAAUCUGUGGCAUAUUUCAUUGGCGAGUGUGUGCGUGCGUGUGCUGUGGCAGUGGCUUUUUUGGCUGCGCUCGGUGUGUGUGCUGUGUGUGCUUGCUGGUGCCCUGUGCUGCGGUGGGACGUCAAGGUCAGUUCGUAUGCUGCGGGAAAUGGCUGCCGAGGAGGUAGGGCUUACGCUUGCGUUUGUCUGUUAUAUCUUGGUGGACGAGUAGUCGCGGUUGGGACUGAGGUGCCUACAACGUGCUUUUGAGUGUGUCUGUGUCUCCGUGUGCGCCGUGUGCGGAUAGCUUGCUAUGCGUGUGUGGUUGUGUGUGGAUUGAUGCGGGCUUUAACUUGUUGCCGUUCGGGACGUUGACGAAAUGGAGCGAUCCGACCCGUCUUGAAACACGGACCAAGGAGUCUAACAUGUGUGCAAGUGUUAGGGUGUGGAAACCCCAGCGCGAAAUGAAAGUGAAGGGCAGCGCAAGUUGUCUGAGGUAGGAAACGUUGUGGGCUUCGGUCUGCGGCGUGGCACUAUCGACCGAUCAUGAACCUUCGUGGUGAAAGAUUUGAGUUUGAGCACAUAUGUUGGUACCCGAAAGAUGGUGAACUAUGCCUGAGUAGGGUGA
RNAcentral lists this ribosomal RNA (971 nucleotides) under Phytophthora litchii. RNAcentral's name for it is "LSU rRNA". It matches the Rfam family "Eukaryotic large subunit ribosomal RNA", at positions 81 to 849 of the family's 3401-position model. Lineage: Eukaryota; Oomycota; Peronosporomycetes; Peronosporales; Peronosporaceae. The record is from RNAcentral.